This is a long non-coding RNA of Nerophis lumbriciformis (worm pipefish), 549 nucleotides long. RefSeq lists it as uncharacterized. NCBI's taxonomy places the organism in Eukaryota, Metazoa, Chordata, Actinopteri, Syngnathiformes, Syngnathidae. The record is from RefSeq and is a predicted model, not a curated record.
UUCAUGCAAUAAGAGGGGCUUUAGGAACCUGCCAGUCAGAGUUCAGGGUUCAGGGGACGCAACCUCUCUCUGGCAGGUUGAAAUCACGUCUUGAGUGGAGCGCAUGGGACGCAGAAAUCUCUGAGAUUCGACGCACAUCCAGCUAUCUUUGACCCAAUUGAAAGGAUGUUGUGGUAGACUACGGGAGAGGUCGAUGAACAAUCAACAUUGGUCAAGGUUUUAAACUGUAAGUGUCACGAGGUUUGUUCUCCCGGGAUGCAAACGGACUACUCCGGACAAGGCUUGCAGUGUAGCCCCCGGGCCGCACUUUGGACACCACUGAAUUAAGGCGAGGAGGAACACUGAUGAAGAAUGGAUGUCCCCAGGCUGUAUUUGUGUUAAGUGUUCCUGCACUGCACGCCACUUUGUGCCUCAAAGCAGACAAACAGACAUUUGAAUAAAAUGUCCAAUGUUUGAACGAGCCGUGCUUGUCUGGCGGACAAAUCGGAUCGCGGCAAAUAUUGAUAUUCAUGUGGCAGGCAUGUUUUUAUUUUUUAUUUUUAUUUUUUU